GCACGGAGAUUAGCCGAUCCUUAUUCCUACAGAUACCGAUCAAGAUCCCUACACGUAGGGAGGUUUCUUCCUGUAUAAAAGCAGUUUACAAUCCAUAGGACCGUCUUCCUGCACGCGGCAUGGCUGGUUCAGGCUUGCGCCCAUUGACCAAUAUUCCUCA
This 160-nucleotide ribosomal RNA is filed under the name uncultured bacterium. Its description in RNAcentral is "partial 16S ribosomal RNA". The record is from RNAcentral.